ACUCUCUGAAGAGUCUUUCCUCAAAGUUCUAAAUCACUUGAGAAAUAAGACAAAGUCAGCAGGCUUACUAUAACAUGCUGGGCAGAAAGACACAGCUAGAAAAGAUAUGCUGGACACAGUCUGGAGCAUGAGAAGGCCCACUGGAGAUCACACCUGAAAAGCAUCACAGUUCCCCAAGUCACUGCUCCCCCUGGCCUGAGUGGAAGAUGGGGGCUAGAAAAAGAUCAAGCAUUUGGUCCACUGGCUCCAGCUAAUUGUGAAACAUGGAGCUAAAUGUUGCCACCUACCAACCAACUAACCGCUUUUACUUCCAGGGAGAGUAAUGAAUGGAGGGAAAGAAGAGUAUUUAGAGAAAAAUCUUCCUCCUGGAAACCAGAAGGGUAGGAUAAUGGAGUGUUCUCUAAGACACCUUUACUG
RNAcentral lists this long non-coding RNA (417 nucleotides) under Homo sapiens (human). RNAcentral's name for it is "HSALNT0039642". Lineage: Eukaryota; Metazoa; Chordata; Mammalia; Primates; Hominidae. The record is from RNAcentral.